RNAcentral lists this ribosomal RNA (374 nucleotides) under uncultured eukaryote. Its description in RNAcentral is "partial 18S ribosomal RNA". It matches the Rfam family "Eukaryotic small subunit ribosomal RNA", at positions 592 to 976 of the family's 1831-position model. The record is from RNAcentral.
CAAGAGCGUAUGUAAAAGUUGUUGCAGUUAAAAAGCUCGUAGUUGAACCUUGGGUUUGGUUGGCCGGUCCGCUUUUUUGCGAGUACUGGAUUCAACCGAGCCUUUCCUUCUGGCUAACCAGUCGUUUCGGCGGCUGGCGAACCAGGAUUUUUACUUUGAGAAAAUUAGAGUGCUCAAAGCAGGCAUUAGCUUGAAUAUAUUAGCAUGGAAUAAUAGAAUAGGACGUUAUGGUUCUAUUUUGUUGGUUUCUAGGACCAUCGUAAUGAUUAAUAGGGACGGUCGGGGGCAUCAGUAUUCAGUUGUCAGAGGUGAAAUUCUUGGAUUUACUGAAGACUAACUACUGCGAAAGCAUUUGCCAAGGACGUUUUCAUUAA